This 267-nucleotide small nuclear RNA is filed under the name Canis lupus dingo (dingo). RNAcentral describes it as "7SK RNA (ENSCAFG00020003034.1)". It matches the Rfam family "7SK RNA", at positions 1 to 274 of the family's 331-position model. Rfam says of the family: 7SK was discovered as an abundant small nuclear RNA in the mid-70s but a possible function has only recently been suggested. Two independent studies have found that 7SK RNA binds the CDK9/cyclin T complex (known as elongation factor P-TEFb). Lineage: Eukaryota; Metazoa; Chordata; Mammalia; Carnivora; Canidae. The record is from RNAcentral.
GGAUGUGAGGACGAUCUGGCUGCAACAUCUGUCACCCCAUUGAUCGCCAGGGUUGAUUCGGCUAAUCUGGCUGGCUAGGCAGGUGUCCCCUUCCUCCCUCACCGCUCCAUGUGCGUCCCUCCUGAAGCUGCGCGCUUGGUCGAAGAGGACGAUCAUCCCCGAUAGAGGAGGACCGUUCUUUCGUCAAGGGUAUACGAGUAGCUGCGCUCCCCUGCUAGAACCUCUAAACAAGCUCUCAUGCAGGGAGCCCAACGUGGGACUCCAUCC